AUUUUGUAAUAAUAUCAUCUGAAAGUAAAACAAUGAAAACAUCAUCAAUGAAGUUUGCUUUUGUUUUCUUCUUCGCCAUUACAUGGGUGAUGAGUAUAGUAGCAGUUCCAGAUGUUGAAGCAAAACAGUUAGCACCAGAAGAAGCUCCUUACGUUUUGUUGCAUCGUGAAGGUUCUUCACAAAAACAAUCUCCACAAAAGUUUAUAUUUAGAUGCGACACACCUAGGUGUCAAAUCAUUUGUACGAUUCGAUGUUUUUGUAUAUGCUAAGCUUCAUCUCUUCGUUAAUCAUAUGUAUUCACUAAAAUAAAAUAAAAGACUUGAUUGUUGCAUA
This is a long non-coding RNA of Brassica napus (rape), 333 nucleotides long. RefSeq lists it as uncharacterized. The transcript has 2 exons. The record is from RefSeq and is a predicted model, not a curated record. NCBI's taxonomy places the organism in Eukaryota, Viridiplantae, Streptophyta, Magnoliopsida, Brassicales, Brassicaceae.